RNAcentral lists this unclassified non-coding RNA (162 nucleotides) under uncultured Sordariomycetes. RNAcentral's name for it is "sequence contains ITS1". The record is from RNAcentral. Lineage: Eukaryota; Fungi; Ascomycota; Sordariomycetes.
GCGAGUCUCUGAACUCCCAACCUUUGUGAACGUACCACGUUGCUUCGGCGGAUCGCCCCGGGGCCGACAGUGCGCUGCCCCGGAGCCAGGCGCCCGCCGGGGGACCCAAAACAUCUUGUUUCCUAGUGGAAUCUUCUGAGUCGUGGCGUAAAUAAGCAAUCA